UCUUCACAGACUCGUAGCGGAACGUACGUAGUGCCUUUUAUUUGUCGUUGCGUCUGUGAAGAAAGACAAAAGAAGCGAUUUGGAAGCUGCGAUUGACAGAGAUUCUGGCAUUUUGUUGUGACUCUCUCUCUUCAAAAACCGAUUGCUAUAAAGCCUAUUGUUUCCAUUUUUGUGUUUCCAUUUUUGUGUCUGUCUCUUCUUUGCCUUUAUAAUCCUGCGCACUCCCGCUGCAAUGGCCGCUCCCUUAGACUACGCUGCGGCGCACAAUAGCAACAAGGGGAAUAAGAAGAGUAAAACGAAGGAGACGGAACCAUUAGAACAGACGUUGAGCAUGUUGCAGAAAGUUCCUGUGCUCGGAAGCUAGCUCAUUUUAGGACAUGAGAUUAAAAAUGAGGCGGAUCCAAAGCUCAAGUGGGCCACACGAGAGGAAAAAGUAGGGAAGCAAAUGCCUCCCGUUGAAACCUUCCUGGGGUCCACCUUGAUGUUUAUAUGCCAUCCAAACUGUUCAUAAUGUAAUUCCCACUGGGUUGAACUGAAAACACA
This is a long non-coding RNA of Magnolia sinica, 543 nucleotides long. RefSeq lists it as uncharacterized. The transcript has 3 exons. The record is from RefSeq and is a predicted model, not a curated record. NCBI's taxonomy places the organism in Eukaryota, Viridiplantae, Streptophyta, Magnoliopsida, Magnoliales, Magnoliaceae.